Molecule: microRNA precursor, 113 nt
Filed under: Erinaceus europaeus (western European hedgehog)
Lineage: Eukaryota; Metazoa; Chordata; Mammalia; Eulipotyphla; Erinaceidae
Description: microRNA 21 (ENSEEUG00000016186.1)
Rfam family: mir-21 microRNA precursor family (bases 22-93)
Source: RNAcentral
AUCUCCAUGACUGUCCCGCCUUGUCGGGUAGCUUAUCAGACUGAUGUUGCCUGUUGAAUCUCAUGGCAACAGCAGUCGAUGGGCUGUCUGACUUUUUGGUAUCUUUCAUCUGA